CAACGAUGAAGAGUUUGAUCCUGGCUCAGGAUGAACGCUAGCGGCAGGCCUAACACAUGCAAGUCGAGGGGUAACAGGGAGUGCUUGCACUCCGCUGACGACCGGCGCACGGGUGCGCACCGCGUAUGGAACCUACCUUCUACAGGGGAAUAGCCUUUGGAAACGAAGAUUAAUGCCCCAUUGUACCUUUUCACGGCAUCGUGAAAGGGUUAAAGGCUUCGGCCGGUGGAAGAUGGCCAUGCGUCCCAUUAGCUAGAUGGUAAGGUAACGGCUUACCAUGGCUACGAUGGGUAGGGGCCCUGAGAGGGGGAUCCCCCACACUGGUACUGAGACACGGACCAGACUCCUACGGGAGGCAGCAGUGAGGAAUAUUGGACAAUGGAGGAGACUCUGAUCCAGCCAUGCCGCGUGCAGGAAGAAUGCCCUAUGGGUAGUAAACUGCUUUUAUACGGGAAGAAAAAGGGCUACGUGUAGCUUGUUGACGGUACCGUAAGAAUAAGGACCGGCUAACUCCGUGCCAGCAGCCGCGGUAAUACGGAGGGUCCGAGCGUUAUCCGGAAUUAUUGGGUUUAAAGGGUCCGUAGGCGGGCGAUUAAGUCAGUGGUGAAAGUCUGCAGCUCAACUGUAGAAUUGCCUUUGAUACUGGUCGUCUUGAGUUAUGGUGAAGUUGGCGGAAUAUGUAGUGUAGCGGUGAAAUGCAUAGAUAUUACAUAGAACACCGAUUGCGAAGGCAGCUGACUAACCAUAUACUGACGCUGAUGGACGAAAGCGUGGGGAGCGAACAGGAUUAGAUACCCUGGUAGUCCACGCCGUAAACGAUGGAUACUAGCUGUCCGGCACCUUGAGUGCUGGGCGGCCAAGCGAAAGUGAUAAGUAUCCCACCUGGGGAGUACGUUCGCAAGAAUGAAACUCAAAGGAAUUGACGGGGGCCCGCACAAGCGGUGGAGCAUGUGGUUUAAUUCGAUGAUACGCGAGGAACCUUACCAGGGCUUAAAUGCAUAUUGACAGGGGUAGAGAUACCUUUUCCUUCGGGCAAUUUGCAAGGUGCUGCAUGGUUGUCGUCAGCUCGUGCCGUGAGGUGUCAGGUUAAGUCCUAUAACGAGCGCAACCCCUACCGUUAGUUGCCAGCAUGUCAUGAUGGGGACUCUAACGGGACUGCCGGUGCAAACCGUGAGGAAGGUGGGGAUGACGUCAAAUCAUCACGGCCCUUACGUCCUGGGCCACACACGUGCUACAAUGGCAGGUACAGAGAGCAGCCACGUCGCAAGGCGGAGCGAAUCUACAAAACCUGUCACAGUUCGGAUCGGGGUCUGCAACUCGACCCCGUGAAGCUGGAAUCGCUAGUAAUCGGAUAUCAGCCAUGAUCCGGUGAAUACGUUCCCGGGCCUUGUACACACCGCCCGUCAAGCCAUGGAAGCCGGGAGUGCCUGAAGUCCGUCACCGUAAGGAGCGGCCUAGGGCAAGAUCGGUAACUAGGGCUAAGUCGUAACAAGGUAGCCGUACCGGAAGGUGCGGCUGGAACACCUCCUUUCU
Molecule: ribosomal RNA, 1533 nt
Filed under: Maribacter sp. MJ134
Lineage: Bacteria; Pseudomonadati; Bacteroidota; Flavobacteriia; Flavobacteriales; Flavobacteriaceae
Description: bacterial SSU rRNA
Rfam family: Bacterial small subunit ribosomal RNA
Source: RNAcentral